Molecule: long non-coding RNA, 677 nt
Filed under: Carica papaya (papaya)
Lineage: Eukaryota; Viridiplantae; Streptophyta; Magnoliopsida; Brassicales; Caricaceae
Description: long non-coding RNA (CPAP_LNC002958)
Source: RNAcentral
UUUUACAUGAACUCUCCGGUACUGAAGAAAAACUACAUGUACAGACUCCAAAUUAAAUCUGCUAUAUUUAAAAAUGAGUACAAGGUAAUAAUAAAACAGAAAAGUGGAAAAAUUAAUUAAUUCCUUCCCCUUUUUGUGUACCUGUGAGAGAGAGGAAGUUAAUAAGAAAAUAGGGUUGUGAUAAUGAUGAGAGAGAAAAAAAUAUUAAAAUAAAUAUUCCAAGAGGCAGCUACAAAUCGUCAUAUGUACAUAUGUGUGUGUGUAUGGAACCUUCCUAUUUCUCUUUCUCUCUUUCUUCUCUUUUUUUUUUCUUUUUUUUCUAUCUUCUCUUUUCUUUCAUGCGCACACAUAACUUCUCUUUUUUUUUUUCUUCUUCUUUCUGCUUUCUUCUCCUCUCGGCUUGCACUUAUCUGCGUCAAGGCUUCUCCUUUUAUAGACGAGGGAAGUUGUGAAGAUCAAUUUUUCUGCCCCAAAAAUGUUCCAAAAAUCUCAUGAAUUGAUACUUGUCAAUCCGUAAGAGGUUAAAGGUAAAUCUUUUCUGAUUGCGUGUACAGCUUACUCUUAUCUUCUUUUUUUUAGGGAUGGGCUGGAACUAACAAUAUCUUCCUCCAGCCAAUGAAGGAAUGUCCACACAUUCAUUGCUCAAUUGUCACUCAGUUCUAUUGUUUUGGUGUAUA